This 495-nucleotide ribosomal RNA is filed under the name uncultured bacterium. Its description in RNAcentral is "partial 16S ribosomal RNA". It matches the Rfam family "Bacterial small subunit ribosomal RNA", at positions 28 to 507 of the family's 1533-position model. The record is from RNAcentral.
GACGAACGCUGGCGGCGUGCUUAACACAUGCAAGUCGAACGGAAAGGCCCUGCUUUUGUGGGGUGCUCGAGUGGCGAACGGGUGAGUAACACGUGAGUAACCUGCCCUUGACUUUUGGAUAACUUCGGGAAACCGGAGCUAAUACCGGAUAAUAUAUUUAACCGCAUGGUUCAAUAGUGAAAGACGGUUUUGCUGUCACUUAUAGAUGGAUCCGCGCCGCAUUAGCUAGUUGGUAAGGUAACGGCUUACCAAGGCAACGAUGCGUAGCCGACCUGAGAGGGUGAUCGGCCACACUGGAACUGAGACACGGUCCAGACUCCUACGGGAGGCAGCAGUAGGGAAUCUUCCGCAAUGGGCGAAAGCCUGACGGAGCAACGCCGCGUGAGUGAUGAAGGUCUUCGGAUCGUAAAACUCUGUUAUUAGGGAAGAACAAAUGUGUAAGUAACUAUGCACGUCUUGACGGUACCUAAUCAGAAAGCCACGGCUAACUACGUG